This 809-nucleotide long non-coding RNA is filed under the name Androctonus crassicauda. Lineage: Eukaryota; Metazoa; Arthropoda; Arachnida; Scorpiones; Buthidae. The record is from RNAcentral.
UGCUCUUCCGAUCUCGGUCAUGGAGGUUGUAGGUGGUAGCUUGGCGUUCUAUCCACCGCUAACUGUAAGGACGAUAAAUACAUCAAUUAUUUAGUUAUAAAUGUCAUUUUGCACUUAUGUACAUACUUUUAUAAUUCACGAACACAUUACGAUAUCCUGAGAAUGUUUAUUUCUAAAGUAAUGCGUGUUAAAAUUGCAAUGAAUGAAUCGGUUGUUUGGGAGACGUUUCGAAUUGCUUACAUCCUAUAACAACUUAUAAUAGAUUUCCUUUCAUUUUAUGGAACCUUUUAUAGAAUGUUUACCAAUCUGACAACCCAAUCGAUCAUUAUUUAUGUUUGAGUGAAUUAGUAAAGAUGGAAUAACUUCCGCUGAAAAUGCCGACUUGACGUUUGCUUCCGAUUAGGAAAGAAUUUGUUGCUUGUUAUCUUUAAAUUAUUGACAUGCAAUUUGAAGAAAAGGUUUCUUCUGUGGAUAAAGAAGAGAAGAACGAGAGGAAGGAAGAGUCUGUUUCUCCAUCGUCUACACCUGAUUUAUCGUCUUCUGCAGAACAUAAGAAAUAUCAGAGGCCAAAAUCUGUAUCUUUUCAUAGUGCAUCUAGUUUACCGGCAGAAAGGAAAAUAUCCAGUGGUAAGUUUAUUCAAGGUUAACCUAAUGCAAUAAAUAACUAAAUCACAAAUGUUUGAAGUAAAUUAUAACAUAAUAGUAUAUAUGGUAGUAGUAAUCAAAUCUAUUAAGAUAUUUUUUGAUUUUAUGUCCGAGAUCAUGCGAUUUAAUGUAAAAGCUGUAAUUUGUUAUAAAAUAUAGGAUGG